GGGGAUUUAGCUCAGCGGCAUAAGCGCCUGCCUUGCAAGCAGGAGUCGUGGGUUCGAUCCCCAGUACCGA
This 70-nucleotide transfer RNA is filed under the name Cavia porcellus (domestic guinea pig). It matches the Rfam family "tRNA". From Rfam's summary of the family: Transfer RNA (tRNA) molecules are approximately 80 nucleotides in length. Their secondary structure includes four short double-helical elements and three loops (D, anti-codon, and T loops). Further hydrogen bonds mediate the characteristic L-shaped molecular structure. tRNAs have two regions of fundamental functional importance: the anti-codon, which is responsible for specific mRNA codon recognition, and the 3' end, to which the tRNAs corresponding amino acid is attached (by aminoacyl-tRNA synthetases). tRNAs cope with the degeneracy of the genetic code in two manners: having more than one tRNA (with a specific anti-codon) for a particular amino acid; and 'wobble' base-pairing, i.e. permitting non-standard base-pairing at the 3rd anti-codon position. Lineage: Eukaryota; Metazoa; Chordata; Mammalia; Rodentia; Caviidae. The record is from Rfam by way of RNAcentral.